This 226-nucleotide ribosomal RNA is filed under the name uncultured bacterium. Its description in RNAcentral is "partial 16S ribosomal RNA". It matches the Rfam family "Bacterial small subunit ribosomal RNA", at positions 326 to 534 of the family's 1533-position model. The record is from RNAcentral.
ACGCUCGACACCUACGGGAAGCAGCAGUGAGGAAUAUUGGUCAAUGGGCGCAGGCCUGAACCAGCCAAGUAGCGUGAAGGAUGACUGCCCUAUGGGUUGUAAACUUCUUUUAUAUGGGAAUAAAGUUUUCCACGUGUGGAAUUUUGUAUGUACCAUAUGAAUAAGGAUCGGCUAACUCCGUGCCAGCACGCCGAGUACGUAUGNGGCGGCGGGCGUACGGACGACG